This is a non-coding RNA of Equus caballus (horse), 3877 nucleotides long. The record is from RefSeq and is a predicted model, not a curated record. Lineage: Eukaryota; Metazoa; Chordata; Mammalia; Perissodactyla; Equidae.
CAAGUCCAAAUUUUCUAUUUUUUCUGUUUUAUAAUUUAUUCCACUUUAUUGAUAAUCUCUAUUUGUUGAGAUAUUUUCAUAAUACUGUCCUUUAAUUUUUUGACAGUGCUUCCUUUGAUUCUUUGAACAUAUUUACAGCAGGUACUUUGUCUUCUUAGUCCAGCAUUUGGUCUCUUUCAAAGGCAGUCUCUAUUGCUUGCUUUUUUCCUUUUUUGGGUUACAUGUUUCUAUUUCUUUGCAUAUCUCAUAAUUGUUGAAACCUGGAUAUUUUAAAUAAUAUAUUGUAGCAAAUUUGGGUGCUAAUCUAACCCUCUUCCAGGAUAUGUUGUUGUUUUCUUGAUUAAUGAUUUAUUUGUUUAGUAACUUGGGUGAAUUGUACCUAAGCAGUUUCCAGUGCACUCACUCUGGUAUUUUUCAUUUUUUAAUUCCUCAAUCCUGGAUGCUUUGCUUUUGCCCAUGGUUCAACCUAUCCACUUGUUGGCCAAAAUGUUUGCCAAAGCUUCCUUAGCUAGCUAGAAUUUUACUUUUUUGCCAUUAAAUGUGUGUGCACUUGUAGGCUUCUUCACAGUUCUAAAAGUUUAUGACUUUUCCCCAUGUUAAGCCAUGACUAUUACCUUGGAGUCUCCCUUUGUGAUCAUUCCUGAGAGGGCGUUGUGUUGGGUAAGUGUACCAUUGUCAAGAAAAAGAGGGUUGAGUGUAAUUUCAUUUUUGAUCUUGACUUUCUAAAAAUCAUCUCCAGGUCAAAAUAGUUUAUUGUUCAGGCAGUGUUUGGUCAGAAUUUGUAAUAAAGCCCUUUGUGGUGGUAAGGCUUAUAUCCUUUGUUGAUGGUACUGUGUAUAACUUGAAAGAUUUAUAAAAGAUUUUCUUAAGUACUGCUCUAAUUGCUCCUGAGUGGGUACUACCUAAUACCUGCACACCGACUUUCUAACCUGCAAGACUGAGUGUGAUUCUUGAAGUAUGUUUCAGAUUAUAUCCCUCCCAAGUACUCUCUGAUAAAUUUCUAGCUGAUCUAUCAUUUCUCUUAUUGUUCCAAGUAUCAUGGAGCUACCAGACGCUCUGACUUAAUUAUUGUAUACCAAGAUCUCCACUGUUUUAACGAUGCUUUGGUCACAAAUUUUUCACAUUCUAUACCAAAUAAAUCAGUUCCUUCAGACAAAGCUCCAGAGCUCUUCAUCCUUAAAGCCUAGCUCUACCCCUAGGCUGAAUUUUUAUGCCGCUUCACAGGAGCUGGGAACAGAGACACCGAACUACUUAUUUUAGAUUGAUAAAUAUGCUUUGCUAGUGGAAACAUAAGAGAAUAUCUCCUGGUCUUGGCUUGCCCCUUCUGGCAUGAAUAGCCAGCCUACAAUCAAGGUAAGGCUACAGCAUUUGGAAUCCCAGUAUAUUUGGCUUGCCAUACCUAGGGUAGAACUUCUACCAUAUGUAUUAGGACUGUGUGGAAGAAAGGACCUCCAGUGCUCUCAGGAGCGCUGUCCAGAAUAGAGCUUCUUCAGCCUGGAGCUGAGAAAAAUGAGAAAUGCCAACAACCUCUCCUGCGUUGAAAACAUAGCCCUGAGAUGGGCUCUGAGGGUAAAGGAAGCUCCUGAUUUGUAGUCAUCGCCCCUCUCAUAGCCAGUUUCUAUUGCAUGCUUUUUCAGCAGUGUAGUUUCACAUUCCUGUUUCUUUAUAUUUCUCUUAAUGUCUUUUUGAAAACUGAAAAUUUUAUAUAAUGUAUCAUAGCAACUCUAGAUUCUGAUUUCCCUCCCUCUGGGGCUUAUCUUUAUAGCUGUUUUUGUUUUUGUUGUUUUCUGUUCACCUGUUCAUUCAUUUAGUGACUUACCUGGACUAAUUCUGUUGAUUCCGUUUCUCCCACUGUGAGUCUCUGAUGUCAUUGCUCAGUUUUUCUUUGUAUUUAACUUUAGAUUGGCUUCUUAGGGAGCACCCCUGGUUUAGCAUCUCAUAGUGGUUAGUCACUGGUUGUUCAGAGAUAAUUCUUAAACACAUUGAACCAGUCAAGUUUUUCACCUUUGCUGUCAGAUCUGUUUGUGACUUGGGGAAUUAUUUCAAAGUUCAAGGAGUUUACAAGUCCACUCUGUAUUCAUCUAGGAACUAGUAGCUUGCAAAGGUCCUUUCCAGUAUCUCUGGAGCAGAAACAGCCUUGCACAUUGGCACAGCCUUCUAGAUGACCAGAGCAGUAAUACUUGCCCUGGCUCGGGGUCAUACUUCCACAUCACAGAAACUGAAGGAUGUGUUGGAGCAUCUCCUUGAAAAACAUGCUACAGACUUUUGCUGUUCUUACUGACAUUCAACAGCUUCAUUAUUGUCUGUUAAAAGAAGACUUACUAAGCUCCUCACACAGCCAUUCUGGAUGUCCUUAUCCCCAGGUAUAUAUUUGUUAUGAAUAUUUUAUAAUACCAUUUGACACACCCAAGAAACUUCAACAUGUUAACAGUGUAUAUGUGUUAUUUUUUUAUUUUAAAAAUACAUAUUUAAUAUUUUUGCUGACCAAUUAAGUUCAUUGAAACAACAUUGAUAAUUGUCGUGGUAGUUUCCAGGACAGAUACACAUAUUGAUAACUAAUUUUUAGCUUUUAAGGAGCUUAACACCUACUAGGAGUUAUAACUAUUAAUAGAUUUGAUAUAGUAAUUUCUCAAGAGAAGAGUAAAUAUAUCACUAUUAAAGCACAAACGAAGAAAUCAAAAGGCGAGACAUAAUAUUUGCACUGGAAUAUGAGGAGUUUGAACUCAGGUUCAUUAAGAGUUCUGGUUAAAUGAGGUAAUCUGAAUCAUUACCUAGAUCCUAAGAUACUAAUAAUAUGGGUUUAUUUUAUUUAGUUCUGUUUUGUAUUCAAAGAGACAUUCAAGUGAAGUUGCUUUGAAAUGAAAGUCCCAUAGAAAUACAAAGUGUCAUUUUCCUAGAAAGUACUAAAAGAAUCUAUAUGAUGUAAGCAUAACUUCAUUGGAAUUGUAUACAUAAUAGUUGAAAAACUCAAGACUACUCUUUCUCCUAUAACAAAAUCCUUUACUCCAGUCAUUUUAAAGUUCAUAUUCCACAAAUUCAUGUGUCCUUGAAAUUUUAUUUUACAGGCCUUGGCAAAAAUCAUCAUUUCUAAUUUGUUUUGCCAAUUUUGUCAUUGCUUACCCUACAAAAAACAACUUAGACUUAGCCUACUUUUGGCUAAGAUAAUUUUUAAAAUAAUUUUGUCUUAUUUGUUUUCUCUGUGUUACAGUAAUCAUAUCAAAUAUAUGGCUUUGAUAUACUACCAUUACCACUUUCAGAGUACAGGCUGUGGGUAAAGGAAGACUUUGAUUAUAAUCAUAGGCUGUAAAAAUAAAAGAUACACUGUGACAAAACAAAGGUCAGUAUAUAUCAGUUUUAAGAUAGAACAAGUUUCAUACUUUUUUUUCUGAAACCACUGGAAGCAAGCUCUGUUUUUGUUUUUACCACUUUUAAAUAAAUGAAGAUAUAAUUCAUGUAUAACACCAUGUAAGUUUAAGGUGUACAACAUGUUGAUUUGAUACAUUUAUAUAUUGCAAUAUAAUUACCACUAUAGCCUCAGCUAACACCUCCGUUACAUAACAUAAUUAUUAUUUCUUUUUCUGCGGUAAGAACAUUUAAGAUCUAGUCUCUUAGCAACUUUGAAGUAUAUAAUACCAUACUGUUAGCUACAAUCACAAUGCUAUGCAUUAGAUCUCCAAACAUUUACUUUCCAGUUUUGUUUGUACACUUUGACCAACAUCUCCUCAAUUUCACCGUCUGCCAGCUCCUAGUAACUACCAUUUUACUCUCCAUUUCUAGAAGUUCAUUUUUUUAGAUUCCACAUACGAUAUCACACAGUAUUUGUUUUCCUAUCUGACAUAUCUCAGCAUAAUGCCCUUAAGGCCCAUCCAUUUUUUCC